ACAGAUCGUUCAGAGUUUGAUCCUGGCUCAGGACGAACGCUGGCGGCGUGCCUAACACAUGCAAGUCGAACGGAGAGCAUUGUACGGAGACUUCGGUUGAAGAAUGAUGUAUCUUAGUGGCGGACGGGUGAGUAACGCGUGAGCAACCUACCUUUCAGAGGGGGACAACAGUUGGAAACGACUGCUAAUACCGCAUAACAUUGCGAGUGGACAUCCACAUGCAAUCAAAGGAGCAAUCCGCUGAAAGAUGGGCUCGCGUCCGAUUAGAUAGUUGGUGGGGUAACGGCCUACCAAGUCGACGAUCGGUAGCCGGACUGAGAGGUUGAACGGCCACAUUGGGACUGAGACACGGCCCAG
RNAcentral lists this ribosomal RNA (357 nucleotides) under uncultured bacterium. Its description in RNAcentral is "bacterial SSU rRNA". It matches the Rfam family "Bacterial small subunit ribosomal RNA", at positions 1 to 334 of the family's 1533-position model. The record is from RNAcentral.